AUUGAACGCUGGCGGCAUGCCUUACACAUGCAAGUCGAACGGUAACAGGUCUUCGGAUGCUGACGAGUGGCGAACGGGUGAGUAAUACAUCGGAACGUGCCCGAUCGUGGGGGAUAACGCAGCGAAAGCUGUGCUAAUACCGCAUACGAUCUACGUAUGAAAGCGGGGGAUCGCAAGACCUCGCGCGGACGGAGCGGCCGAUGGCAGAUUAGGUAGUUGGUGGGAUAAAAGCUUACCAAGCCGACGAUCUGUAGCUGGUCUGAGAGGACGACCAGCCACACUGGGACUGAGACACGGCCCAGACUCCUACGGGAGGCAGCAGUGGGGAAUUUUGGACAAUGGGCGCAAGCCUGAUCCAGCCAUGCCGCGUGCAGGAUGAAGGCCUUCGGGUUGUAAACUGCUUUUGUACGGAACGAAAAAGCUCUCUCUAAUACAGGGGGUGAAUGACGGUACCGUAAGAAUAAGCACCGGCUAACUACGUG
This 482-nucleotide ribosomal RNA is filed under the name uncultured bacterium. RNAcentral's name for it is "partial 16S ribosomal RNA". It matches the Rfam family "Bacterial small subunit ribosomal RNA", at positions 30 to 507 of the family's 1533-position model. The record is from RNAcentral.